Molecule: ribosomal RNA, 841 nt
Filed under: Lasiosphaeria hispida
Lineage: Eukaryota; Fungi; Ascomycota; Sordariomycetes; Sordariales; Lasiosphaeriaceae
Description: eukaryotic LSU rRNA
Rfam family: Eukaryotic large subunit ribosomal RNA
Source: RNAcentral
CAACAGGGAUUGCCCUAGUAACGGCGAGUGAAGCGGCAACAGCUCAAAUUUGAAAUCUGGCUUCGGCCCGAGUUGUAAUUUGUAGAGGAAGAUUCUGGCAAGGCACCUACUGAGUCCCCUGGAACGGGGCGCCAUAGAGGGUGAGAGCCCCGUAUAGUAGGACGCUUAGCCUGUGUGAAUCUCCUUCGACGAGUCGAGUAGUUUGGGAAUGCUGCUCAAAAUGGGAGGUAAAUUCCUUCUAAAGCUAAAUACUGGCCAGAGACCGAUAGCGCACAAGUAGAGUGAUCGAAAGAUGAAAAGCACUUUGAAAAGAGGGUUAAACAGCACGUGAAAUUGUUGAAAGGGAAGCGCUUAUGACCAGACUUGCGCCGUGGCGAUCAUCCGCUGUUUUCAGUGGUGCACUCGCUGCGGCACAGGCCAGCAUCGGUUCUCGUGGGGGGAUAAAGGUCGCGGGAAUGUGGCUCGUCUCGGCGAGUGUUAUAGCCCGUGGCGUAAUGCCCCCGUGGGGACCGAGGUUCGCGCAUCUGCAAGGAUGCUGGCGUAAUGGUCAUCAGCGACCCGUCUUGAAACACGGACCAAGGAGUCAAGGUUUUGCGCGAGUGUUUGGGUGUUAAACCCGCACGCGUAAUGAAAGUGAACGUAGGUGAGAGCUUCGGCGCAUCAUCGACCGAUCCUGAUGUAUUCGGAUGGAUUUGAGUAGGAGCGUUAAGCCUUGGACCCGAAAGAUGGUGAACUAUGCUUGGAUAGGGUGAAGCCAGAGGAAACUCUGGUGGAGGCUCGCAGCGGUUCUGACGUGCAAAUCGAUCGUCAAAUCUGAGCAUGGGGGCGAAAGACUAAUCGA